AAAUGGGAGAGAAACUAGAAACAAAUUUUGAAAAGGAAACAAAGUCUCUUGAGGACAUGUGGCAAUGGCACCACAAGAUAUUCCUAGACAAAAUCCUAAAAAGCACUUUGAAGAGGGAAGCAAUCAAAAACUUAAGCAGCCAUCCUUCAACCGAACGUGGAAAUUUUGUAAAUGCAAAAGAGUUACUAUUUGAUUUAGGUAACUCCCCUUCUUUUCACUUCACUUCCGUCUUGGAAUGGAAAAUCCAUUUUCCCGGUAAAACCGCGCAACAGCCCCCACACCCUUUUCCAGAAAAUAAAAAAAAUAUAUAUUAAUAAUAAAUAAAAAUAAACAACCAAAUAAUAGAAAAAAUCCAAAAAUAAAAUAUAGAGAAAAGGAAAAGAAAAAUCACAUUUCUUCAUAUUUAUAUCCUAAGAUAACAGACUGAUACACAUUCAUGUUUACAAACAAAACCUUCAAAGCCAAAACGACAUCUUCUUACCUCUUUUCUCUUCCCUCUCCGGUGUCUCCUCCGCCGCCAUCAAAGUCGGUUCUUACUUUUAAUGACUUUCGAUUGUAUGCGCACACAAAUGGAUAUGACAACAGAAUGAGAAAUCGCCAGCGGCGAUCAUGUCACUGUCGUGUUCCGAUUGCUUCAAUGAUCUUCUCUGCAGGGAAGACUCUUCCGAAAUCAUUUCCACCGGUGACUCACCGGAAUACUCGUCGGACCUUGAAUCUCCUGCCGGAACCGUAGAAUCCAUUGCUAGUUUCAUCGAGGACGAGAGGAACUUCGUCCCUGGAUUCGAUUAUUUGUCUCGCUUCCAAUCUCGCUCUCUCGAUGCAUCGGCUCGAGAAGAUUCUGUUGCAUGGAUUCUCAAAGUGAAGAUCCUUAUAAACAUUUGAAAGAAUUCCAUAUUGUAUGCUCCAGAAUGAAGCCACAUGGUGUGACAAAGAGCAAAUAAAUCUUAGAGCUUUUCCCUUUUCUUUGAAGGAUAAAGCAAAAGAUUGGCUCUAUUAUCUACCUUCCGGUUCAACAAUAACAUGGAAUGAGAUGAAAAAAUUAUUCUUAGACAAGUUUUUCCCUGCAACAAGAGCUGCCAACAUCAGAAAAGAAAUUUGUGGCAUAACACAGUUCAUUGGAGAAACAUUGUAUGAGUAUUGGGAAAGGUUCAAGCAACUUUGUGCUAAAUGCCCACAUCAUCAAAUCUCUCUGCAACUCCUAAUCCAAUACUUCUAUGAAGGAUUAUUGCCAAUGGAUAGGAGUAUGAUUGAUGCAGCAAGUGGUGGAGCUUUGAUAGACAAGGCACCUGAAGAAGCCAAGUAAUUGAUUUCAAACAUGGCUGAGAAUUCUCAGCAAUUUGGUACAAGGGCUGAUGGAGCUACAAGGCGAGUUAAUGAGGUAAGCAUUAAAAAUCUUGAAAAUCAAAUUUCUGAUUUAACUGCUUUGGUUCGUCAAAUGGGUGUAGGGUAAUUACAAAUGGCAAAAGUUUAUGGAAUAUGUUCGGUCCAAGGACAUCCUACCAAUAUGUGCCCAACAUUGCAACAAGACUCGAUACAAGAGGCUAAUGCUCUAGGCGGAUUUGCUGGUCAAUCUCAAAGGAAGUAUGACCCUUUUUCCAAUCAUUAUAAUCGUGGAUGGAGAGAUCAGCCGAAUUUGAGCUAUGGGAACCAAGGAGGACAAUAAAAGAAACAAGGUUAAGCAUUCAGAAUUUAGGCAAUCAAAUAACUCAAUUGGCUAUGUCAGUUAGUAAAUUGGAGGCCCAAAAUUCUAAAAAACUACCUUCGCAACCAGAAAUAAAUCCAAAGGUGAACGUUAGUGCAAUUUCUCUAAGAAGUGGAAAGGAGAUUCCUUCAGGCUCGAUUCCACUUAAGGAAAGUGAACUUAGCAAGGAAAAUGAAGAAGAAGCUUCUUCCAAGGCAUCACGUAGGGUAAAAUUUGAUCCUCCCCUAUCUCUUUCAUUUCACACUCCAUUACCUCCUUUUCCUAGCAGAAUAGCAAAACCAAAAGAAGAUGAGCAAGAAAAUGAGAUCUUGGAUACAUUUAGGAAGGUGGAGAUAAAUAUCCCACUAUUGGAUGUUAUCAAACAAAUUCCUAAAUAUGCAAAGUUCUUGAAGGAAUUGUGCACCAACAAAAGAAGAAUGAAGGAAAAGGAGAAAGUAGUGGUAAGUAAGAAUGUGUCGGCAAUCUUGCAAAAGAAUAAUGUCAGAAAAAUGCAAAGAUCCAGGUAUGUUUUCAUUACCUUGUGUUAUUAGUAAUACGAAAAUUGAGCGUGCCAUGUUAGAUUUGGGAGCUUCCAUUAAUGUCAUGCCAUUUUCUAUUUAUCAAGAUUUAAAACUAAAUGACUUGCAAAAAACUGGUUUAGUGAUUCAAUUAGCUGAUCCUUCUUUCAUUCAUCCCCUUGGGGUAGUUGAAGAUGUUUUGGUGCAGGUUAAUGAGCUCAUAUUUCCUGUCGACUUUUACAUUUUGGAAAUGGAUGGUAAUUCCUCAUCAAAAUCAGCCUCAAUUUUGUUAGGAUGACAAUUCAUGAAAACUUCUAAGACAAAGAUUAAUGUAGAUGAGGGUACUCUCUCCGUAGAAUUUGAUGGAGAGAUUGUUAAAUUUAAUAUUUUCGAUGCAAUUAAAUACCCUAAUGAUGUACAUUCUCUUUGCCAUAUUGAUGUAAUUGAUCCAAUUGUGUAGGAAGUUUUUGCAGAAGAAAGUGUUGUUGAUGAGCAAGAAUUAGAUGAAAAAUCUAUUUUUGAAGGAAAUGAUUAUGAGAUUGGUGUAGAAGAACUAUUUUCAGCAACAAUAUCUGAACCCACAAAUCUCAAUACUGAAAUCUCUAAUACUAAUGACAAGAUGUUACCUUCAAUUGUGCAGGCACCAAAACUAGAGCUGAAAGCUUUACCAGAUCACCUAAAUUAUGUAGUGAUGCCAUCCUAGAAGGCUGCCAGAAUUUCUGCCCUCAUCGGAUCGGUUUUCAAGGCCAGACUAUCACAUGCCCACCAGUUUCCUCCUGGUUUGUCCUCAAACCACACAUCUAAUAAAGGGGUCCUGCUCUGAUAUGAUUUGUAACGACCCAGAACCAUAUCACAAUGAGAUAUUGUCCGAUUUGGCCCCCAUUGGCCUCACAGUUUUAUCGCCUUGGCGGAUUCGAGAUCCUAGAGGAGGUCACUCAUCCUGAAAUUUCUCCGAAUCAAGCAGGUUUAACUUUGGAGUUCCUACAACCCCACAGCCAAAUAACGAAAAGGCUUCUCAUGUAAUCAGUUUCAAUUCUUUACAUAUAUGUUAUUAACCAUUCUUUGUCAUGUUUCGACAUGCAAUUCGGUUCAUUCAUGUACCCCGUACCUUAGAGUGUUGCCAUCCUAGAAGCUUGUCAUAAGCUGCUCCUUAUCCAAGCAUCCUAUCCUUGCUGUGGCGUCUACUUUCGCCCUCAUCGGAUCACUUUUAUAGGAAAUGAUGAUUAUUAACUAUG
RNA transcript from Ricinus communis (castor bean), 3434 nucleotides. It is a transcript of the gene named cyclin-D1-1-like, with no coding region annotated. The transcript is spliced from 4 exons. The record is from RefSeq and is a predicted model, not a curated record. Lineage: Eukaryota; Viridiplantae; Streptophyta; Magnoliopsida; Malpighiales; Euphorbiaceae.